This 774-nucleotide ribosomal RNA is filed under the name uncultured Neocallimastigales. RNAcentral describes it as "partial large subunit ribosomal RNA". It matches the Rfam family "Eukaryotic large subunit ribosomal RNA", at positions 26 to 629 of the family's 3401-position model. The record is from RNAcentral. Lineage: Eukaryota; Fungi; Neocallimastigomycota; Neocallimastigomycetes; Neocallimastigales.
CGCAUCUGUGCAUGCAGCAUAUCAAUAAGCGGAGGAAAAGAAACUAACAAGGAUUCCCCUAGUAACGGCGAGUGAAGCGGGAAGAGCUCAAAUUUGAAAUCUUAAAGGGUUUCCCUUUACGAAUUGUAGUUUAAAGAAGUGUUUUCUGUUGAGGUUUUGGUAAAAGUUCUUUGGAAUAGGACAUCAUAGAGGGUGAGAAUCCCGUAUUUGACCUUUACUUUCAACUUUGUGAUACACUUUCAAAGAGUCGGAUUGUUUGGGAAUGCAGUCCAAAAUGGGUGGUAAAUUUCAUCUAAAGCUAAAUAUUGGCGAGAGACCGAUAGCGAACAAGUACCGUGAGGGAAAGAUGAAAAGAACUUUGAAAAGAGAGUUAAACAGUACGUGAAAUUGUCAAAAGGGAAGCGUUUGACACCAGUGUUGUUUUUCUGAAAAUCAAUUAAAGAACUGUUUAUGCUAAGUUGUUUAGACUUUAUCAGCUAUCUGUUUAGUUUUGAGCUUUUCUUUAAUGCACUUUUCAGUUAACAAGUCAACAUCAAUUUCCUUUUGCUGUAAAAAAGCUUGAGGAAGGUGGCUUGAGAUUCGUCUUAAGUGUUUAUAGCCUCUUGCCUAUGCAGUCGGAGAGAUUGAGGUCUGCAGCGUAGAUCCUUCGGGGCUAAAUGCAUUUGUGCUAAGUUAUAGCAUUUAUAGACAACUUGUUGACUAUGAUUUGUCUUGUAGCUUACUCGCUUAUGUUAUUUUACCUACGCUUAGGAUGUUGACAGCAGUAUAGACUGU